Non-coding RNA from Xyrichtys novacula (pearly razorfish), 104 nucleotides. The record is from the annotation of a GenBank genome assembly. NCBI's taxonomy places the organism in Eukaryota, Metazoa, Chordata, Actinopteri, Labriformes, Labridae.
ACCAGGUAAUCUCUUAGGUUAUAACCAGGUUAUAACCAAGUUAUAACCAGGUAAUGUCUCAGGUUAUAACCAGGUUAUAACCAGGUUAUAACCACGUUAUAUCU